This 589-nucleotide long non-coding RNA is filed under the name Struthio camelus australis. RNAcentral describes it as "lncRNA (ENSSCUG00000000444.1)". The record is from RNAcentral. Lineage: Eukaryota; Metazoa; Chordata; Aves; Struthioniformes; Struthionidae.
CAGAAUAUUUACUUUUGUGUCCUGUAUUAUACAGAUGCUUCAGCUCUAACCAGCAGUUAAAACACAGCCCGAGCUGCAAGUCACCCACCAGCUGCACAAGGCAGGGGACAGAGACCCGGGCUGGAGCUGAAAGGGAGAGCGAGCCGUGGGGGAUGUGGCAGGAGAGAGGCACCAGCGCAAGGCUGAAGUGCCAGCUGAGGAGGUCCCCGUCUGUCCUGGCGCCUUCCUAAACUCCCUGUCCAACACUCCCAAGCAUGGCAUCAGCUAUAAUAGCGGCUACCACUGAGGGCAGGAGGACUGUCAUCAGCACAACAGAACUCAUAACCAGAUUUUAAACCACAUUUUUCCUCCCAUAUUAAUUAAUUUUUGGGCUUCUGAAGAAAAAUAACAGGAAUAAUGUUAAAAAUGGUUUACAAUACUUAAACAUUGCAGUUGGAUGUACAGUAGGUGUGCAGAAAUACUAGUGUGGAUUGACAGUCCUGGCACAAGACCCUGCACCCUGGAAUCAAGGGGGUUUCAGCGAGAGAAAGCCUUAUUCCCAUGCAUUCAGAAGACAGAGGGCCUGAUUUGAUUGUAACCUUAAAAUACU